GACGAACGCUGGCGGCGUGCUUAACACAUGCAAGUCGAACGGAAGGCCCUGCUUGCAGGGUACUCGAGUGGCGAACGGGUGAGUAACACGUGGGUGAUCUGCCCUGCACUUCGGGAUAAGCCUGGGAAACUGGGUCUAAUACCGGAUAGGAGCCAUUUUUAGUGUGAUGGUUGGAAAGUUUUUUCGGUGUAGGAUGAGCUCGCGGCCUAUCAGCUUGUUGGUGGGGUAAUGGCCUACCAAGGCGGCGACGGGUAGCCGGCCUGAGAGGGUGGACGGCCACAUUGGGACUGAGAUACGGCCCAGACUCCUACGGGAGGCAGCAGUGGGGAAUAUUGCACAAUGGGCGCAAGCCUGAUGCAGCGACGCCGCGUGGGGGAUGACGGCCUUCGGGUUGUAAACUCCUUUCGCUAGGGACGAAGCUUUUUGUGACGGUACCUAGAUAAGAAGCACCGGCUAACUACGUG
RNAcentral lists this ribosomal RNA (464 nucleotides) under uncultured bacterium. RNAcentral describes it as "partial 16S ribosomal RNA". It matches the Rfam family "Bacterial small subunit ribosomal RNA", at positions 28 to 507 of the family's 1533-position model. The record is from RNAcentral.